Molecule: unclassified non-coding RNA, 728 nt
Filed under: Hevea brasiliensis (rubber tree)
Lineage: Eukaryota; Viridiplantae; Streptophyta; Magnoliopsida; Malpighiales; Euphorbiaceae
Source: RNAcentral
GUGUGUGUGUGUGUGUGUGUGGACCGUCACACAUGUUCUUUUAGCAGCAUCCUUGGGCUUUUAAUAAAGAUUUGGUUCAAUUCUUGAAUAUCUUAGUUCUAUACUAGUACUUAAAAUUAUAACACUUCAAUUCUUUUUGUGUACUGCGUAAUAGAUUGUGAAGUAAUGUUGAUCAGGUUAAAAUUGUGAAGUUGAUAUAAUGUUUACAGUUUUUAGAAGGGAAGUUGCUUGCUAUCAUAAAUCCAUCUUUCUAUUGUUCAUUCUUGAAGUUUCCUAUUGAGAGCUAAUGAGCUCAAAGUUUUUGAAAUAUGGUUAUAGAGCAUUUUAGUAUGGAAAUUUUAAAAAAGGGAGAAAAGAUGAGAAGUGACAGUUUGUCUAUGGUAGGAGUAGCUUCUGCAGAAUUGAAAUGCUAUUGGUUGUAUACAGAGUGCACAUGUGAUGUAUAACUAAUAUGUGGCAACAUUAACUAGUAGGUUGAAAGUGAAACGCUAUCAAGUUGAACAUUGAUUUUAUUGUUGGUUACAUUUCAUUUCUUUUUUAGAGUAAUGCUGGGGGGGUGGACUCAAAUAAUCCUGAACGCGGUCAUUUAUUGCUAAUGAUUUUUAUUUUAAAUCUGAUAAAAUAUUCUUUGACGUAUUAUUUUAUGUUUGACAUGACCAAAGUUAUGGCUUUCAGACAGUUAUGGAUGUGCUGUAAAUUUUUUCAUUGUUGUUGUUAUUAUUAUUAUU